RNAcentral lists this ribosomal RNA (310 nucleotides) under uncultured Hyphomicrobiales bacterium. RNAcentral's name for it is "bacterial SSU rRNA". It matches the Rfam family "Bacterial small subunit ribosomal RNA", at positions 20 to 358 of the family's 1533-position model. The record is from RNAcentral. Lineage: Bacteria; Pseudomonadati; Pseudomonadota; Alphaproteobacteria; Hyphomicrobiales.
UGGCUCAGAACGAACGCUGGCGGCAGGCCUAACACAUGCAAGUCGAGCGCCGUAGCAAUACGGAGCGGCAGACGGGAGAGUAACACGUGGGAACGUACCCUUUGGUUCGGAACAACCCAGGGAAACUUGGGCUAAUACCGGAUAAGCCCUUACGGGGAAAGAUUCAUCGCCGAAGGAUCGGCCCGCGUCUGAUUAGCUAGUUGGUAGGGUAAUGGCCUACCAAGGCGACGAUCAGUAGCUGGUCUGAGAGGAUGAUCAGCCUCACUGGGACUGAGACACGGCCCAGGGUCCUACGGGAGGCAGCAGUGGG